GCCGGGGUGCCCGAGCGGCCUAAGGGGCCGGCCUUGAGAGCCGGUGGGCUUUGCGCCCGCGCGGGUUCGAAUCCCGCCCCCGGCG
This 85-nucleotide transfer RNA is filed under the name Desulfurococcaceae archaeon. RNAcentral's name for it is "tRNA-Ser". It matches the Rfam family "tRNA". Rfam says of the family: Transfer RNA (tRNA) molecules are approximately 80 nucleotides in length. The record is from RNAcentral. Lineage: Archaea; Thermoproteati; Thermoproteota; Thermoprotei; Desulfurococcales; Desulfurococcaceae.